GUCUGUCAGCUGCGAGGGCCGGACUUGUCCUUCUUCCUUGAAGCUCUUGGAGAAUCAACCUGAGAACAGCGAGAAAAUCAGUCUGUCAUUAGCCACCACUUGUGGUUAGAUUGUGGCAGGCUUGGUAAACCAGUUUCCUCUCUGUGUUUUGUGUUACUUUUGAUUCUCUCUCCUCUCUCUCUCUGCUAGCCUUGCGCUCACUGUGCUGGCCUCAAGCUUGUGGUGAUCCUCCUGCCUCAGCCUCCCAAGUGCCCCACCUCUUUUCACUGCUUGCAAAGCCAGAAAUAGCAGGGGCUGGGGAGCCAGCUUGGACUGUGCCUGACGCCAGGGAGGGUUGCCAUGGCUUGGGACACCUUCAGGCCUUCGGGGGAGCUCCUGGGGCCAGGCUGAGUCCUCAGCCAGUCGCAGAUGCUGUGUGUCUUUGCCAAGGUCCCGACCCUCCGAUCCUCCUGGGCUUCGGUUUCUUCAGCUGUAAAACAAGGCAGCUGCUUGGAAUCUGCACGCAGUUCUGUUUAUAACAGCGUUUUUAGGUUGCAGGAAUAAAAAUAUUCUGCUUCUGCCCACUCUCCCCAGACUUGGCUGGCGAAGAUGAUCUCAGUCAUCGAUCAACCCAGCCACACAUGGCCCCGUCUCGCCUGAGAGAAGGCAAUGGGAGCCACUGACCCCGGAGCUGCUGUGUGCGGCAGCCCCAAAGGACUGGAAGUCAGCUCCCGGGUUCUGUGCCCGGCACCUGGCCUUCCGCGGGCCAUAAAACAGCAGUUUCCGGCCUGCUGGUUGGAACAGUGACUGUUACAACAUCCACAGCAGAGUAGCACAGGAGGUGACACCAUGAAGAAACCUUCCCGGGUCACGUUGGGACAGACCGUGUGAGGUGCAGUCCUGGCCUCAUGAUGUGUCCAUGCGAUGGGGAAUUAAAAGAGCCAUGACAAGUCAUCAGUGUUUAACGGAAAGGUGUUGAAUGACGUCUAAAUUCCAGAAACUCAGUGUGCAGCCCAGGCUGGCCUUGAACUUGCAGCAAUCCUCCUGCCUCAGCCUCCCAAGUGCUGGGAUUACAGGAGUUGAACCUUCGCACUAAGCUACAUCCCCAGCCUUGCUUCAAUUGUGAAUUUCGAGCCAGAGGUCUUUGUAAGCCAUUCAAGCUGAGCUCACUCUUGCAAUCUUCCUGCCUCAGCCUCCAGACGUGUGCCUCCAUGCCCAGUGGGCUGCCGUGACCUUAGUACCCUUUAGGAGGGCCUGGCAUGUCCACGGGUCUGUGGCCAGAGAAAGAUGGGGAGAACAGCAGCGUCCUCGCGCGUCUGGGCCAGAACCUUUUGCGCCGGGCCGGGUGGCUUCAGGAACUGAGCCUUGCAGACAGGAAACCGUUCCCUCACCCUAAGUCCACACUACUGUCCCGCCUCUGCUGGUGACAUCAGCGGAAGCCACCUCAGCAGCUCACCGUGGUCCGGGCCUGGCCUGGAGACAGGUGUCCACUAUCGAGCAAUGUGCGGUGUCCCAUCCGCCACUUGGACUUGAAGAGGCCGGGUUGAAACUCCGUGUGCCCAGCACCCUCGGGCUGGCCGGGCUGGCAGAGGGCUCGCCCGGCUCGCUGCUCUCUCCUCUUCCUUCCAGGAGGAGCCGCUGGGUUUGCACCCGGGAAGGGCUUCACACACGUCUUGGCCACCGAGGCUCCAGGUGUGGGGUCUGCAGCCAAGAGCUCCUCCAGCCUCGGGUUUGCACACCAGCGUGGGACACCACGGCCACCACUACCCAAUCACCCGAAUGCCAUCCCCACUGCCAUCAUGGCCACAGCCCAGGGUCUCCUGUGAGCCCUGUAGGACAGACAGAUCUGAGCCUUGGCCAGGUCUUGGGGAUCCGCUCUCCAGGACCCUAGAGGCGUGCCGUGAGAGGCCUGGGGGAAGCGCACAGAAGACAGGGCGGAGCCCCGGGUCCACUUGUGCAAAGCCACACACAGACGGAAACCAAGUCUCUUCCCCAUUGGACUGGAGGCUCUGUAGAGAAAUGAAAUAAAAAGUGGGAGAAGCAACACUUCACAUCCUGGACACUGAGCUGCUCCGGGGAAGGUGUUGCUUACCACACAGGUGAUGGCAAGGUGGCCAGAGCGUCACAGACCCCCGAGUGUGUCCCUGUGGCAACUCAAGCCCUGCGAGGGUCACAGCUGCACAUUCCCACCCCCAGGCCUGCUCUGAGCUUCCCCUCCAUUGCCUGCGGCUGUGGGGCCCGACUUUGUGGGCCUGGGUCGCGGCCUGGCAGCCUCCGCCCAUUGCACAGACCCCGGUUGCCGCUCCUGGCUUCUCCAGGCCCCAGGUGCCAGAGCCCUCUUGGGUCCCCCGAGCCCUGGGAUAGGUCUAUGGGAUCCCUUGUCACUCUCAGAAGCCCCUCUGUGCAGAGCGUCAUGUCUGUGCGGGAAUGCGCCGCGUGACAGCCAUCUCUCCUAUCACUUCUGAGAACCACGCAGCCAGAGGCCCUAGCUGAGCCUCAGUUUUUUCAUCUAUUCUGUGGGAAAAUAAUGCCCCAGGCUUUUUUGUUGCUGAUAGACAGGGUCUGGCUAUGUAGCCUAGGAUGGGCUCAAACUUGCAGCAAUCCUCCUGCCUCAGCCUCCCAGAGUGCUAGCAUUACUGGUGUGCACCACUG
This is a long non-coding RNA of Heterocephalus glaber (naked mole-rat), 2631 nucleotides long. Lineage: Eukaryota; Metazoa; Chordata; Mammalia; Rodentia; Bathyergidae. The record is from Ensembl.